AACUGCAGAUAGUGGUCUGCCCCUGUGGGGGUUGGCAAGUAAGUUGUGGGCCUAUCAGCUGGUAGUUAGGGUAAUGGCCUAACUAGGCGCAGACGGGAUACGGGGGAUCAGGGUUUGGUUCCGGAGAGGGAGCCUGAGAGAUGGCUACUACGUCCAAGGAUGGCAGCAGGCGCGAAACUUGCCUAAUCCUUUGGGGAGGCGGUUAUGAGAAGUGAUGUGUGUGCGAGUGCAAAGGGGUCGCAUGUGAUUGGAGGGCAAGUCGGGUGCCAGCAGCCGCGGUAAUACCUGCUCCAAUAGUGUCUAUGGUGGAUGCUGCAGUUAAAAUGUCCGUAGUCUGUUGUGUAUGUCUUUGUGUGUGAUGUUUGUGGUUGUGUGUGGAUGUAGUGAUGUGUGUGGCAGAGGACGAGGGGCACUGGAUAGUUGGGCGAGAGGUGAAAUGCGAAGACCCUGACUGGACGAGCGGAAGCGAAGGCUGUGCUCUUGGACUAAUGUUGCGAUGAAGGACGAAGGCUAGAGGAUCGAAAUCGAUUAGAUACCGUUUUAGUUCUAGCAGUAAACGAUGCCGACUGGACGGGAGU
RNAcentral lists this ribosomal RNA (578 nucleotides) under Encephalitozoon cuniculi. RNAcentral's name for it is "SSU rRNA". It matches the Rfam family "Microsporidia small subunit ribosomal RNA", at positions 136 to 710 of the family's 1311-position model. Lineage: Eukaryota; Fungi; Microsporidia; Unikaryonidae. The record is from RNAcentral.